UCAUAAAAUAAAUUUUUAUAGAAAUACUCGUAAAUAAUUUUUCGCACAUGAAAGUAAAGUAAAAAUUGUAUGAAUAGAAAUACAGAUAACCAAAAUAUAAGUUUUGAUCUAUAAUGACACGUGGGCUCCAAUUGACCAAGAGGAUGUAAGACUGUGAACUCUUACUCUCUAUAAUGCAGUUCCGAGCUUAGUUCUCGUCCUACUCGACUAUUUACAAACUGUCCUGAGCCUGAAAAAUGUAUAGGAAGAAGGGGUGAGAUUUUAUAAUCCCAGUGAGUAAACAGAUGCCAUCUAAGGUAUCUAAAGCCGAGUAAAUGGAGACAAUUAAAAUAAAUCAUCAUACCGUAAUUUCAUUACCUUUCAGUUCAUUUCAACCAAAUAAAAUCAAUCCAUAUAAAUCGAGUAAUGAACUUGCCUUAUGAAUUUCUUAAAACUUUGGCUCGUGCCAAAACUCAUACUCGAUGAUACCUUGCGCAGGGUAUCCAACCGAGUCCGCCAAGGCUAUUAAAAUUUUGUAUACACUUAAAAUAUAUUUUUAGUUUGAGAAAAAUACAGUCGUUCCUUGGCGUUGGCUGAGUUCCCCUUCACGUGGUGGUUUAGCGUGAAGUGAACCCUAAGCUUUACCCUAGGAGAUACCCUACGCGCCUCUCCGUUCGAGGUAAUAAUAUAAUGGAGUUUAUCGUGCCCCUCUAAUAGGCUGGUCCACGGAACCCCCUCUGCAGUAAAUAAUUAAUAUAUACUCCACCAAUUUAAUAAAAUUCAUUCUAGCAUGACAUGACAAUUUAUCGCAAUCUAGCCUCUCAAGGCUGAAUACACAAUACAAAUAAUUCUGACACCAAAAUCAAUUUAGCCAUUCAUGCUCAUAUAUUGUCAUAAGCCAUUCAAUUUAAAACCAUAAAUUUACAACACAAGCAGACAGUCUCCAAUUACUCUAUUUUCAAAACCAGUAUUCGAUUUUUCAGAAAAUUUAUAAAAUCAUUUUAUAAAAUCACAAUUUCUCCUAAAACAUAGCAAUUUACCAUUUAAACCCAUUUUCCAUAAAAUCACACAGUUGUAUAAAACUACUCUAGAUAAUUAAGAUGAUAAUAAGUUUACUCACAGUAUUAGGAGUAGAAAUACUCCUAUCUUCCGCCCUCGGGUGCAGUCUCUUACCCGNNN
RNAcentral lists this long non-coding RNA (1158 nucleotides) under Theobroma cacao (cacao). RNAcentral's name for it is "long non-coding RNA (TCAC_LNC003094)". Lineage: Eukaryota; Viridiplantae; Streptophyta; Magnoliopsida; Malvales; Malvaceae. The record is from RNAcentral.